Molecule: ribosomal RNA, 429 nt
Filed under: Actinomycetes bacterium
Lineage: Bacteria; Bacillati; Actinomycetota; Actinomycetes
Description: Actinobacteria bacterium partial 16S ribosomal RNA
Rfam family: Bacterial small subunit ribosomal RNA
Source: RNAcentral
UAGGGAAUCUUCCGCAAUGGGCGAAAGCCUGACGGAGCAACGCCGCGUGAGUGAUGAAGGUCUUCGGAUCGUAAAACUCUGUUAUUAGGGAAGAACAAAUGUGUAAGUAACUAUGCACGUCUUGACGGUACCUAAUCAGAAAGCCACGGCUAACUACGUGCCAGCAGCCGCGGUAAUACGUAGGUGGCAAGCGUUAUCCGGAAUUAUUGGGCGUAAAGCGCGCGUAGGCGGUUUUUUAAGUCUGAUGUGAAAGCCCACGGCUCAACCGUGGAGGGUCAUUGGUAACUGGAAAACUUGAGUGCAGAAGAGGAAAGUGGAAUUCCAUGUGUAGCGGUGAAAUGCGCAGAGAUAUGGAGGAACACCAGUGGCGAAGGCGACUUUCUGGUCUAUAACUGACGCUGAUGUGCGAAAGCGUGGGGAUCAAACAGG